This 231-nucleotide long non-coding RNA is filed under the name Vitis vinifera (wine grape). RNAcentral's name for it is "long non-coding RNA (VVIN_LNC006960)". The record is from RNAcentral. Lineage: Eukaryota; Viridiplantae; Streptophyta; Magnoliopsida; Vitales; Vitaceae.
CUCCAUCUUCAGCAUAGGCUUGGGCCUGGGCUCCAAAUUCAAACCCAAGCCCAAAGCCUUCAUAAGCAAACCCAAUGCAAACAUCCAUCACAAACUUGGGCCUAGUGCCCCAACUCAAGCCCGAGUCCAAAGAUGUCAAGGGGUAAGCCCAAGACACCCAUUGCCUUCACAAACUUGGGCCUUUCAUCUGGGUCCAAGCUGCCUAAAGCCCAAGUCAAUCCUCAUCUCUCU